RNAcentral lists this transfer RNA (72 nucleotides) under Camelus bactrianus (Bactrian camel). It matches the Rfam family "tRNA". From Rfam's summary of the family: Transfer RNA (tRNA) molecules are approximately 80 nucleotides in length. Their secondary structure includes four short double-helical elements and three loops (D, anti-codon, and T loops). Further hydrogen bonds mediate the characteristic L-shaped molecular structure. tRNAs have two regions of fundamental functional importance: the anti-codon, which is responsible for specific mRNA codon recognition, and the 3' end, to which the tRNAs corresponding amino acid is attached (by aminoacyl-tRNA synthetases). tRNAs cope with the degeneracy of the genetic code in two manners: having more than one tRNA (with a specific anti-codon) for a particular amino acid; and 'wobble' base-pairing, i.e. permitting non-standard base-pairing at the 3rd anti-codon position. Lineage: Eukaryota; Metazoa; Chordata; Mammalia; Artiodactyla; Camelidae. RNAcentral also lists the same sequence under 1 other name. The record is from Rfam by way of RNAcentral.
GAAGGUAGAGCUUAGUGGUAGAGUAUGUUCUUAGCAUGUAUGAGGUCCUGGGUUCAAUCCCCAGUAUCUCCA